Long non-coding RNA from Telopea speciosissima, 142 nucleotides. RefSeq lists it as uncharacterized. The transcript is spliced from 3 exons. NCBI's taxonomy places the organism in Eukaryota, Viridiplantae, Streptophyta, Magnoliopsida, Proteales, Proteaceae. The record is from RefSeq and is a predicted model, not a curated record.
CCCUGUCAAGAUAUGGUGGCAUGCUCAGAAUCAUAAAUUACCCACAGCUAAUCUGACACAAAUAACUCAAGUAUAGAUCAUAAGAGGAAGAGUAUAAAAGUGAGCUCAACAGUUUGUUAAACGCUUGAACAUCUCCAAAGCA